Molecule: non-coding RNA, 418 nt
Organism: Paramuricea clavata
Lineage: Eukaryota; Metazoa; Cnidaria; Anthozoa; Malacalcyonacea; Plexauridae
Source: the annotation of a GenBank genome assembly
UUCCUCCACGAAUAACAAGAGGUCCAAAUGAUACGACAAUAAAUGAAGGUGAAAACAUCACUCUAACAUGUGAUGCUGAAGGCCCACCAAAACCUAAAUUUACUUGGAGUAUUGUCAGUGAGAGGGUCUCAAUAAAAGAGAACAUUAGUAAUAACAAUGAGUUGGAACUGAGAAAUGUGAGAAGUGCUGGUGACUAUAAUUUCAUAGUUACAUGUCACGCAUCCAACAAAGGAGGAUGUAGUACAGCAAAUGCAACUAUAGAGAUUUUGGGUAAGUUUCUUACAACUUAAUUACAAGUAUAAACUUUUAAGUUUCCGGAUAUAGUUAGCUACAUUUCAUGCACUGACUUCUAUCAUGCAGCAGAUGGUGAUCAACUAGCGGUCUUCAUAGUGUUUCUUAUGUGAGAUCAACAUGCAGG